UGCUCAUCCAAAUUAAAAGGCAGACAUUUGCUUCUGGGCAAGAUGGAGAAACAAGGACCACGUUUAUCCUCCUGCCUGGAGCAACUCUCCAAAGAAAACAACAUCAUCAAGAAACCAUAUAUGUACACGAAACAGUUUAUUUUUCAGGACAGUAAACAUCAGACAGUUAAGAACAUCGGUCCCUAGGAGAUGAGAAGCAAAAGCUUCAGGCUCAGAAUUGCUCAACUUGCUUCCUCGAGAGGAAGGGGAAGUGGGGGGAGCCCAGUGGGACCCUUGAACUGAUGAGAAAGAGCUGAGGGUCCAGGGAGACCCAGGCAACGAAAGUUCAUGGCACAGAGCGCUGGAGAGGAGUGCGUGCGUAGGGAGCCCUGGAGGCCCGCAGAGGGGCCCACUCACACACCCAGUCGGGUAAAGAGCAACACGUGCCUCGGAGGAAAUUCUUCAAGGCUUGGAAGAGAACCACCAGGAGGGGCGGGGGCCCAUGCCCACUGCUCAGGCAGGGCUGGGAACAGGGUCCGUUCCCACCAACCAGACUCAGAAAAUGGACACUUCACGGGGCCUUGGGCACUUGGAAAAUUCCUGCAUUACCCUGGGGGCAGUUAACCCCGAAUGGGGCACUUCCCCAGGCCCACCUUACAAACCCAAAAAAAUCCAGACCAGAGAGGAUCAGAUCAUGGCCAGGUGACUUAACUGCUCCCCAGAGCAAAGCUCCAGAACGUUCGUAGGAGUAGAAAGAGGUCCUGCACGAACGAGGGGGAAAACACACAAUGUCUGGCAUCUGAUCAAAAAUUAGCAAACAGGCAAAGAAGCAGGAAAAAGCGAGCCAUAAGAGGAGGAGAGCCAAUCAAUCAAAAACAACUGCAAGAAGUCAGCACUGCAAACCCCUUAAAGCCAAAGCAGCAACACAGAAAGGCCGAGCAAAGGAGAUAAAAUGGAAUUCAGAAAACUCUCGAUUGACGCAGAAGAGGUAAGAGGGAGAAAAAAAGAGACAGGACCCACAGAACACGGGUGAGAAACGGUGCACUUGCUUCCUUCCGCGGUCAAGCACGUUACGUGCAGCUGGUCUAAACGCCCCAGUUAAGAGGCAGAGAUGGUUAUACUGGGGUUAAAGAAGGAAGAAUCCUCCUGUGUCCUGCCUACAAGAAGCACGGUUUAAGUAUAAAGACACACAAAGGUUAAAGGAAUCACAGACCUCUGAAAUAUACAUAAAGCUAAACGGGCUGUAACUGGCAGGGUAGACAUGCACAGUUACACUCCGAGACUUCAGUACCCCUCUAUCAAUAAUUAAUUGGAAAUUAAUGAUUAAUUGUUUAUCAAGGAAAAAUCAAAAAGGAAAUUAGGAAGGAUUCUCAACAGAAUGAAAAUAUAAAGACAGCACAUGGGAACUUGUGCAAAACGGUUAGAGCAGGACUCAGGGCGGAAUUUCUCCUGCAAAAACGCCUACAUGGAAAACAAGCGAGCGCUGAAAUCAGUGACCCCAGCUUCUGCCUUAAGAAAAAUAGGAAAAGAAAUGCAAAUCAGCCCAAAGUAAGCAUGAGAAAGGAAAUAAUGCAGACCAGGAAGAAGUUGAUGAAACAGAAAACAGAAGAACAAUAGAGAAAGCAGGAAAGCCAACCCAGAACUCUGUUGUUUGAGAAUACCAAUAAAAACUGAUAAACCAGAUCAGGAAAAGAGAAAAAGUGAGAGAUGAAGUGCCCGACAUCAGGAACGAGGAGGUGACAUCAAUACAGAGUGUGAAAGUCGCUCAGCUGUGUCUGACUCUCUGCAACCCCAUGGACUGUCAGUCCAUGGAAUUCUCCAGACCAGAAUACUGGAGUGGGUAGUCCUUCCCUUCUCCAGGGGAACUUCCCAACCCAGGGAUCGAACCCAGGCCUCCCGAAUUGCAGGCAGACGCUCUCCCAGCUGAGCCACCAGGGAAGCCCCAAAAGACUGGAGUGGGUAGCUUAUCCCUUCUCCAGGAGCUGAACUGGGGUCUCUGCAUUGUAG
Molecule: long non-coding RNA, 1986 nt
Organism: Bos taurus (domestic cattle)
Lineage: Eukaryota; Metazoa; Chordata; Mammalia; Artiodactyla; Bovidae
Source: Ensembl